GGACCUGACUGCUAUCGGAUUGAUACUAAGCCAUGCGAGUCAUUGUAGCAAUACAAGGCAUACGGCUCAGUAACGCGUAGUCAACCUAACCUAUGGACGGGAAUAACCUCGGGAAACUGAGAAUAAUGCCCGAUAGAACAUUAUGCCUGGAAUGGUUUAUGUUCCAAAUGAUUUAUCGCCGUAGGAUGGGACUGCGGCCUAUCAGUUUGUUGGUGAGGUAAUGGCCCACCAAGACUAUUACAGGUACGGGCUCUGAGAGGAGUAGCCCGGAGAUGGGUACUGAGACACGGACCUAUGCCCUAUGGGGCGCAGCAGGCGAGAAAACUUUGCAAUGUGCGAAAGCACGACAAGGUUAAUCCGAGUGGUUUCUGCUAAAGAAACCUUUUGUCAGUCCUAGAAACACUGAUGAAUAAGGGGUGGGCAAGUUCUGGUGU
RNAcentral lists this ribosomal RNA (434 nucleotides) under uncultured archaeon. RNAcentral describes it as "bacterial SSU rRNA". It matches the Rfam family "Archaeal small subunit ribosomal RNA", at positions 19 to 458 of the family's 1478-position model. The record is from RNAcentral.